This is a long non-coding RNA of Argiope bruennichi, 550 nucleotides long. RefSeq lists it as uncharacterized. NCBI's taxonomy places the organism in Eukaryota, Metazoa, Arthropoda, Arachnida, Araneae, Araneidae. The transcript is spliced from 2 exons. The record is from RefSeq and is a predicted model, not a curated record.
UUGUGAAUAGAUGGCGUCUGCAGAAUAAAUGCCAAUAGAAAAGAAAGUUACAUUUGGCCUCGAAUAUUUAGGUGGUUGAAUACUAGCAUCUAAAGCACAACACGCUGUGAAUGAGACGGAGGAGUCCAUUGAAUGACGUAUUUUUUCGUAGGGAUAAGGUUUAAGAGGAGGAGACUAGUUUUUGUUUACAAAACUGCAGGAGUUAGCCAAUUGUACAGACAAAGGAUACCGACGUGCUCUAAUUGUGACGAGCGCCUGUUGGCGAGCGCCAUCUGCUGGUUGAUAGACGGAGUUGACGCUGGUUAGACGUAGAGCAGAUCAGACGGAUCUGGACGAGAGAAAAGACGCGGCAGAUCAGACGGAUCUGGACGAGAGAAAAGACGUGGCAGAUCAGACGGAUCUGGACGAGAGUAAAGACGUGUCAGAUCAGACGGAUCUGGACGAAAGUAAAGACGAGACGCGACGUAUUCGACGAAAUCUACUGAAUGUUCAAUUCUUUUAUGUUAAUGUAUAUAUGUCCUAAAUGUAAUUAAAUGUGCGUUCUAAAAUA